AAGUAUAGAGACCUUGAAUCAAGAAGGGAGAAAAAGUUUGGUGUUUGCGUAAAUCUGAGAGGGAGAACAAGGAUUUCACAAAGCUGAGCUAAAGAUUGGUUUUUCUUUUCAUUAUUUGUAUAUAUUUUUUAAAUAUUUAACUUAUAAAUCUUUUAUGGUUUUUUUAAAUAGUUAAUAUUAUAUGUUUUAAAUAUCUUUUUAAUGAAAGUUUUCUAUAAAAGUAAAAUUUAUUUUUAGUCUAUUUGUUAAAAAU
This 253-nucleotide long non-coding RNA is filed under the name Lathyrus oleraceus (garden pea). RNAcentral describes it as "Pisum sativum (pea) long non-coding RNA (PSAT_LNC039343)". Lineage: Eukaryota; Viridiplantae; Streptophyta; Magnoliopsida; Fabales; Fabaceae. The record is from RNAcentral.